GACGAACGCUGGCGGCGUGCCUAAUACAUGCAAGUUGAGCGCUGAAGGUUGGUACUUGUACCAACUGGAUGAGCAGCGAACGGGUGAGUAACGCGUGGGGAAUCUGCCUUUGAGCGGGGGACAACAUUUGGAAACGAAUGCUAAUACCGCAUAAAAACUUUAAACACAAGUUUUAAGUUUGAAAGAUGCAAUUGCAUCACUCAAAGAUGAUCCCGCGUUGUAUUAGCUAGUUGGUGAGGUAAAGGCUCACCAAGGCGAUGAUACAUAGCCGACCUGAGAGGGUGAUCGGCCACAAUGGGACUGAGACACGGCCCCAACUCCUACGGGAGGCAGCAGUAGGGAAUCUUCGGCAAUGGACGAAAGUCUGACCGAGCAACGCCGCGUGAGUGAAGAAGGUUUUCGGAUCGUAAAACUCUGUUGGUAGAGAAGAACGUUGGUGAGAGUGGAAAGCCCAUCAAGUGACGGUAACUACCCAGAAAGGGACGGCUAACUACGUG
This 497-nucleotide ribosomal RNA is filed under the name uncultured bacterium. RNAcentral describes it as "partial 16S ribosomal RNA". It matches the Rfam family "Bacterial small subunit ribosomal RNA", at positions 28 to 507 of the family's 1533-position model. The record is from RNAcentral.